Molecule: ribosomal RNA, 503 nt
Filed under: Sphingomonas sp. HS351
Lineage: Bacteria; Pseudomonadati; Pseudomonadota; Alphaproteobacteria; Sphingomonadales; Sphingomonadaceae
Description: partial 16S ribosomal RNA
Rfam family: Bacterial small subunit ribosomal RNA
Source: RNAcentral
UUUGUCGCUCCGGAUGCCUAAUACAUGCAAGUCGAACGAGACCUUCGGGUCUAGUGGCGCACGGGUGCGUAACGCGUGGGAAUCUGCCCUUGGGUUCGGAAUAACAUCGGGAAACUGAUGCUAAUACCGGAUGAUGACGUAAGUCCAAAGAUUUAUCGCCCAGGGAUGAGCCCGCGUAGGAUUAGCUAGUUGGUGAGGUAAAGGCUCACCAAGGCGACGAUCCUUAGCUGGUCUGAGAGGAUGAUCAGCCACACUGGGACUGAGACACGGCCCAGACUCCUACGGGAGGCAGCAGUAGGGAAUAUUGGACAAUGGGGGCAACCCUGAUCCAGCAAUGCCGCGUGAGUGAUGAAGGCCUUAGGGUUGUAAAGCUCUUUUACCCGGGAUGAUAAUGACAGUACCGGGAGAAUAAGCCCCGGCUAACUCCGUGCCAGCAGCCGCGGUAAUACGGAGGGGGCUAGCGUUGUUCGGAAUUACUGGGCGAAAMAVBACURUMRSNVRUM